RNAcentral lists this ribosomal RNA (260 nucleotides) under uncultured bacterium. RNAcentral's name for it is "partial 16S ribosomal RNA". It matches the Rfam family "Bacterial small subunit ribosomal RNA", at positions 334 to 591 of the family's 1533-position model. The record is from RNAcentral.
UUUUCCUACGGGACGCAGCAGUGAGGAAUAUUGGUCAAUGGGCGCGAGCCUGAACCAGCCAAGUCGCGUGAGGGAAGACGGUCCUAUGGAUUGUAAACCUCUUUUGUCGGGGAGCAAAAGACGCCACGUGUGGCGUUCCGAGAGUACCCGAAGAAAAAGCAUCGGCUAACUCCGUGCCAGCAGCCGCGGUAAUACGGAGGAUGCGAGCGUUAUCCGGAUUUAUUGGGCGUAAAGGGCACGCAGGCGGUCUUUUAAGUCUG